RNAcentral lists this ribosomal RNA (380 nucleotides) under uncultured eukaryote. Its description in RNAcentral is "partial 18S ribosomal RNA". It matches the Rfam family "Eukaryotic small subunit ribosomal RNA", at positions 592 to 976 of the family's 1831-position model. The record is from RNAcentral.
CAAUAGCGUAUAUUAAAGUUGUUGCAGUUAAAAAGCUCGUAGUUGGAUUUGUGGCCAUCGCUAGCGGCCUAUCACUUAGUGUUAGCGCUUGCUGGCGGCGCCAUCCUUGGGUGGAGCCCGUGUGGCAUUAGGUUGUCGUGCGGGGGAUGCCCAUCGUUUACUGUGAGAAAAUUAGAGUGUUCAAAGCAGGCUUAUGCCAUUGAAUAUGUUAGCAUGGAAUAAUAAGAUAGGACCUCGGUACUAUUUUGUUGGUUUGCGCACCGAGGUAAUGAUUAAUAGGGACAGUUGGGGGUAUUCGUAUUCCAUUGUCAGAGGUGAAAUUCUUGGAUUUCUGGAAGACGAACUACUGCGAAAGCAUUUACCAAGGAUGUUUUCAUUAA